This 478-nucleotide ribosomal RNA is filed under the name uncultured bacterium. RNAcentral describes it as "partial 16S ribosomal RNA". It matches the Rfam family "Bacterial small subunit ribosomal RNA", at positions 28 to 523 of the family's 1533-position model. The record is from RNAcentral.
GACGAACGCUGGCGGCGUGCUUAACACAUGCAAGUCGAACGGUAAGGCCCUUCGGGGUACACGAGUGGCGAACGGGUGAGUAACACGUGGGUGAUCUGCCCUGCACUUCGGGAUAAGCCUGGGAAACUGGGUCUAAUACCGGAUAGGACCCUGGGAUGCAUGUCCUGUGGUGGAAAGCCUUUGCGGUGUGGGAUGGGCCCGCGGCCUAUCAGCUUGUUGGUGGGGUGAUGGCCUACCAAGGCGACGACGGGUAGCCGGCCUGAGAGGGUGACCGGCCACACUGGGGCUGAGAUACGGCCCAGACUCCUACGGGAGGCAGCAGUGGGGAAUAUUGCACAAUGGGCGCAAGCCUGAUGCAGCGACGCCGCGUGAGGGAUGACGGCCUUCGGGUUGUAAACCUCUUUCAGCACCGACGAAGCGCAAGUGACGGUAGGUGCAGAAGAAGGACCGGCCAACUACGUGCCAGCAGCCGCCGUAA